GGUUUCUUCCACACUUCUAGGAAAAGGGAUUUAAUCGGGUACUGCUAAUACUACCAUGGGAUUUAAGGCCUGGUGCCCUAUAUUUAUUGCCAUCUCUGAAUUUUAGUACUGGAGCACUGGAUGAGGAAGAAGCUGGAAUGAAAGAUUUUUGGUGAAACUGAGAACGAUUUUCACCCUCUGACUUAGGUUGAGCGAAGUUGAAGCUACCUAUUCUUAGCCUCCUCUAUCUUUUGAGCAUGAACCAUGAGCCUGCAUAUGUUUAUCUCUUUAAUUAGCAUUGUGGUCCUACAUACCUUGACCAUACU
Molecule: long non-coding RNA, 305 nt
Filed under: Capsicum annuum
Lineage: Eukaryota; Viridiplantae; Streptophyta; Magnoliopsida; Solanales; Solanaceae
Description: long non-coding RNA (CANN_LNC020360)
Source: RNAcentral